This 482-nucleotide ribosomal RNA is filed under the name Streptococcus parasanguinis. RNAcentral's name for it is "bacterial SSU rRNA". It matches the Rfam family "Bacterial small subunit ribosomal RNA", at positions 28 to 494 of the family's 1533-position model. Lineage: Bacteria; Bacillati; Bacillota; Bacilli; Lactobacillales; Streptococcaceae. The record is from RNAcentral.
GAUGAACGCUGGCGGCGUGCCUAAUACAUGCAAGUAGAACGCUGAAGCUUGGUGCUUGCACCGAGCGGAUGAGUUGCGAACGGGUGAGUAACGCGUAGGUAACCUGCCUCUUAGCGGGGGAUAACUAUUGGAAACGAUAGCUAAUACCGCAUAAAAGUCGAUAUCGCAUGAUAUUGAUUUGAAAGGUGCAAUUGCAUCACUAAGAGAUGGACCUGCGUUGUAUUAGCUAGUUGGUGAGGUAACGGCUCACCAAGGCGACGAUACAUAGCCGACCUGAGAGGGUGAUCGGCCACACUGGGACUGAGACACGGCCCAGACUCCUACGGGAGGCAGCAGUAGGGAAUCUUCGGCAAUGGGGGCAACCCUGACCGAGCAACGCCGCGUGAGUGAAGAAGGUUUUCGGUUCGUAAAGCUCUGUUGUAAGAGAAGAACGAGUGUGAGAGUGGAAAGUUCACACUGUGACGGAACUACCAGAAAGGACG